RNAcentral lists this ribosomal RNA (596 nucleotides) under Aureobasidium pullulans. Its description in RNAcentral is "eukaryotic LSU rRNA". It matches the Rfam family "Eukaryotic large subunit ribosomal RNA", at positions 45 to 656 of the family's 3401-position model. The record is from RNAcentral. Lineage: Eukaryota; Fungi; Ascomycota; Dothideomycetes; Dothideales; Saccotheciaceae.
UAAAAGCGGAGGAAAAGAAACCAACAGGGAUUGCCCUAGUAACGGCGAGUGAAGCGGCAACAGCUCAAAUUUGAAAGCUAGCCUUCGGGUUCGCAUUGUAAUUUGUAGAGGAUGAUUUGGGGAAGCCGCCUGUCUAAGUUCCUUGGAACAGGACGUCAUAGAGGGUGAGAAUCCCGUAUGUGACAGGAAAUGGCACCCUAUGUAAAUCUCCUUCGACGAGUCGAGUUGUUUGGGAAUGCAGCUCUAAAUGGGAGGUAAAUUUCUUCUAAAGCUAAAUAUUGGCGAGAGACCGAUAGCGCACAAGUAGAGUGAUCGAAAGAUGAAAAGCACUUUGGAAAGAGAGUUAAAAAGCACGUGAAAUUGUUGAAAGGGAAGCGCUUGCAAUCAGACUUGUUUAAACUGUUCGGCCGGUCUUCUGACCGGUUUACUCAGUUUGGACAGGCCAGCAUCAGUUUCGGCGGCCGGAUAAAGGCUCUGGGAAUGUGGCCUCCACUUCGGUGGAGGUGUUAUAGCCCAGGGUGUAAUACGGCCAGCCGGGACUGAGGUCCGCGCUUCGGCUAGGAUGCUGGCGUAAUGGUUGUAAGCGACCCGUCUUG